UAGCUCUGUGGGUGAGGUUCACCUGGGGAUAAAGCGUGGAUCUGAUGUAUUAACAUGAAAAGAACACGUGCGUGGAAGCAGGGUUGACUACAUCGGGGAGACAGAUCAGAUUCCUCUGCAGCAUACGGCUUUAUGCUGCUCAUCAGAGGAGUUUGGAGUUUGUAGGAGAUUUGGGAUUAUCCGUCUGCUGGAAGCAAGUUCACCCAAUCUGUGCAGAAGACGGAGCUAUGAUGGGAGUUUUCUGGUUGUUGAUAAUCCUACUUUGCUGCACAUCACCCAACAGAUGUGAUGUUUUAUCUCCAGAGCAACCAUGGGACAUUCACUGCAGAACAGCAGAAAAGACUAAUUCUUUGUCUGUGCCGUGCCCUAAGAUCAAGCCUGAAAACCUCAUCAUGGACCACAAAACAGACAUUACUAUCACUCUUUACAGAAACCGGAUAGAAAUUUAUAAAAUAUGCACAGAGCCUUCCAAAAAAAACCAAACCAUAAAGCAGCACGGUGUCACCCCACAGAAAGAACAUGGUAAAUUUACAGGUUUCAUCAUUAAAUUAGAAGGUAACAUAGAGCAAGCAGUCUACACAUGCCAGGUUGAGAAGUCUUACCCUCCUCCUUUCGUGACCAGUGAAGGCAAAUUAGUCGUGGUCCUUGAUGAAGGUAAAUAUAUCAAAAAUUUAAGGUGAAACCCAUCUUGAUAUUUAAUGUGCAAACAGGAAUAACUAAAAAUAAUAUCUUUAACAUGUGCUUUUCUCGGGACAAGGAUGUGCAAACAAAACAGGAACAUGUAAGAAAGACGACUCAGAGCCACGAACACCACAGAGACCCAUAUGGAUCUGGAUCCUGGUUGUUGCACUUCUUUGCACCUACAGCCUGGCGGUGACCAUCGCUGCCUUGGUUAUCUGGCACAAAAUGCAGGAUGCAGAUUCCCAGAAUGACUACAUCAACACCAAACCCAAAGCACCUCCAAACCGCAGGAAGAAAAGAGGAAUCCAGCAUCCUAUACCAAAACACUUCUGAUGAUUCGGACGUCACUGGAUUAUUUUCCUAGCUUCUCCCUCAACACACUGACUGUGUCUAGAGCUUAAAAUAAGUAUAACAUUGUUGUAAUUGGGGUGUUUAAUCUGUCUAUUUCGUUUAAAGAGACUUUUAUUUGUGUAUCAACACUUUGUUUAAGUGGGUGUCUGAGAAAUUGUGUGUAUUUUAGAAACAAGGGCAGAUUUUUUUUUUGACUUCCUGUUUCACUCGCUGUAACGAGUCAUGCGAAGUCAGGAACCCCCUCAUCUUUGUGGUCAAAACAGAAGGUGGUGCCUUCAUGAGGGGAUUUAACCACAUUUAAAGAGCCUUUUUUUCAGUUUGUAAAUCAGUGCAACACCUUGUGGAUCAAGAAUGACCACAAACUACAAAAAGAUAAAUACAGUUUUGCAAGCCGCAACACCUUUCUGGGUUCUUUUCAGAGAAACUACAUUGAGAUUAUACAGAGGUUGAUGAUGAGCAGAAACACAUUGAGCUGCAAGCAGAUUGAAAAUAACAAGUUGCACCAUUUCCUGCCCUCCUUUUAUCAUUUCGUUAUGGGUAUGGGUUUUCUGCAGAGGUCGCGGCUUCAAAGCGCUCCACCUUUACCGUGCUCACCUUGCACUUUCUGUGCAAGCGCUCACGCUGCUUUUAUUGGUUUCAUUUAGUAGCAGGUUUUUCAUAACCACCGCAAGUUCUGACAAAAUUAGCCUAGUGUUUCUGUGAAGCCUUUAAGCUGCCGGGGAAGGCAGGCAGAUGACUAAAACAUAUUGAAAUCACUUGUCAUUUGAUAGUCAUCACUCCAUUUUUCCAUAAUGACUAAAAAAACAACAGCACAAGAAAAGAUCAGCUCAGGUAAUUGCUGUGAUGCUUUUUUUUUAAAGCGACAUAACAUCCUAUAAAUAGCCCAAAAUCAAUUAUUUAUCUUAAAACAAAAAAUCAUAUUUGAUCUUUUAGCUCUACCUAAAUGCAGAAAACAUUCAGAGCCUAUUGUUUUAAAAUACUUUAUUAUUGUUAUUAUGUACAGGUUUUCAACUGAACAAACUUUCAAUCUGCACACAUUCCUACGUGGCUUUUUGGUCUUGUUUACACCGUCUAAACUGUUCCGGAUCCGACAUGUUCCUCUUUUGUUUGUGGUUCUGAUGCAUGGUCUGGAAAUAGAAGUCCUCGUAUAACAUCUGUCCUCUCCUCCUCAGACAAUGGCUGUAGGUGCUGCUCUGUUACCUUCAGGGAAAGAGAAAACAUGCAAAAUAUGCUUCAACUGAUUUAAACAGACUUUGCAACACAGGCGGCUACAUAAACCUGGGUGUUUUUUAUCAAUGUCACACUCUAUGCGGAUGAUAACAGAUACUUUCUGAAGGUUUCAACUCUCUAAAACAACCUGAAUUCACAAUAAAGGCCAUCACAUCUAUAGCAAAGGCUAAUUGAUAAAUGUUAUUUGGUAACUUCAGUUGCUACCAAGAGAAAACAGGAAGAGAUUUAUCAGUAAAAUCAAACAUAAGUCUCACCAAAACAGGAGUGUAUCCCAGGAUCUUCAGAUGACGGAUCUUGAGAGUGAGUGGGCCACGAGGGUGGGAAGUACCGUAGCAAAAAGUAGAGUUCGGUGCAUAAAUAACGGCAAUUCUAGAAUAAAAAAUAAAAAAAAA
This is a long non-coding RNA of Cyprinodon tularosa, 2654 nucleotides long. RefSeq lists it as uncharacterized. The record is from RefSeq and is a predicted model, not a curated record. NCBI's taxonomy places the organism in Eukaryota, Metazoa, Chordata, Actinopteri, Cyprinodontiformes, Cyprinodontidae. The transcript is spliced from 3 exons.